GGAUAUAGCUCAGGGGUGGAGUGUCUGCUUAGCAUGCAUGAGGUCCUGGGUUCUAUCCCCAGUACCUCCA
This 70-nucleotide transfer RNA is filed under the name Camelus bactrianus (Bactrian camel). It matches the Rfam family "tRNA". From Rfam's summary of the family: Transfer RNA (tRNA) molecules are approximately 80 nucleotides in length. Their secondary structure includes four short double-helical elements and three loops (D, anti-codon, and T loops). RNAcentral also lists the same sequence under 2 other names. Lineage: Eukaryota; Metazoa; Chordata; Mammalia; Artiodactyla; Camelidae. The record is from Rfam by way of RNAcentral.